Molecule: ribosomal RNA, 771 nt
Filed under: uncultured Neocallimastigales
Lineage: Eukaryota; Fungi; Neocallimastigomycota; Neocallimastigomycetes; Neocallimastigales
Description: partial large subunit ribosomal RNA
Rfam family: Eukaryotic large subunit ribosomal RNA
Source: RNAcentral
GUAGUCUCGCACAGAUGCAUAUCAAUAAGCGGAGGAAAAGAAACUAACAAGGAUUCCCUCAGUAACGGCGAGUGAAGCGGGAAGAGCUCAAAUUUGAAAUCUUGAAAGGUCACCUUUCACGAAUUGUAGUUUAAAGAAGUGUUUUCUGUUACGAUCGUAAUAUAAGUUCUUUGGAAUAGGACAUCACAGAGGGUGAGAAUCCCGUCUAUGAUUGCGAUUUGUAGCUUUGUGAUACACUUUCAAAGAGUCGGGUUGUUUGGGAAUGCAGCCCAAAACGGGAGGUAAAUUUCUUCUAAGGCUAAAUAUUGGCGAGAGACCGAUAGCGAACAAGUACCGUGAGGGAAAGAUGAAAAGGACUUUGAAAAGAGAGUUAAAUAGUACGUGAAAUUGUCAAAAGGGAAGCGUUUAACACCAGUGUUGUUUUCUGAAAAUCAACCUCUGUUAGCUUUAUGCAUGUUUGUUUAGACCUAAUCAGCUAUCUUGCAUGUUCUAUUGUUUGCAGUGGUGCACUUUUCAGUUUACAGGUCAACAUCAGUUUUUUUUACCGUAAAAAAGUUAAAGAAAGGUAGCUCAUGGCUCCGGUCGUGAGUGUUAUAGUCUUUUUCCUAUGCGGUAGGAGAGACUGAGGUCUGCAGUGUAGGCUAUUUGGCUAGAUACUCAGGUGCUAUGUGAUACCAUUUCAUAAACAACUUGUUGAUUAUGUUUUGUCUAUUGCAUACUCGCUUGUACUAUCAUACCUACGCUUAGGAUGUUGAAGAUGUAGCACAUCAU